AUGAAUCGUUAGGAUGCUCUUUUUAGAGGUCCGACCCCUUCAUUUCCUUCACCCUGUGCACAUACACCAUUUUAACACCCAUUUUUUUAACACCUGAGUCAUCAGAAUGUAAUAGUCUCUUGAUUGAGCAUAAAAUAUAAUCA
This 143-nucleotide unclassified non-coding RNA is filed under the name uncultured Basidiomycota. RNAcentral's name for it is "sequence contains ITS1". Lineage: Eukaryota; Fungi; Basidiomycota. The record is from RNAcentral.